UACGUAGGUGGCAAGCGUUGUCCGGAUUUACUGGGCGUAAAGGGCGCGUAGGCGGCCGUGGAAGUCAGGCGUGAAAGCCCCGGGCUCAACCUGGGAAUUGCGCUUGAUACUCCGGGGCUUGAGUUCGGGAGAGGAGAGUGGAAUUCCCAGUGUAGAGGUGAAAUUCGUAGAUAUCGGGAGGAACACCGGUGGCGAAGGCGGCGAUCUGGGUAGAUACUGACGCUGAGGUGCGAAAGCGUGGGGAGCAAACAGG
RNAcentral lists this ribosomal RNA (253 nucleotides) under uncultured bacterium. Its description in RNAcentral is "partial 16S ribosomal RNA". It matches the Rfam family "Bacterial small subunit ribosomal RNA", at positions 524 to 776 of the family's 1533-position model. The record is from RNAcentral.